This 263-nucleotide long non-coding RNA is filed under the name Elaeis guineensis (African oil palm). RNAcentral's name for it is "long non-coding RNA (EGUI_LNC061950)". The record is from RNAcentral. Lineage: Eukaryota; Viridiplantae; Streptophyta; Magnoliopsida; Arecales; Arecaceae.
AUGGCCUCGGGUGUGCCCGUGCGGUGCAGGGAGGCUAGGCGUGCGGACCAUGCACGGUCUAUCCACGGUGCAUGGACCAACCGUAAAGUUCAUGCACAGUCUAGGGAUGUUUUUGCCUGAUUGAAUGGUUAGGAUCGUAUAUAUGCGUGCUUGAUCGGAUGGUUAGGAAUAUUUCAGAGUCCUGGUAGAAGUCUUUGUGCAUUUUUUAUGAGGUUUAGGACUAUUGUACAUGGCAUUUUUGGUCUUUAAAAGGACCAACGGCC